UACAGAGGGUGCGAGCGUUGUCCGGAAUCACUGGGCGUAAAGGGCGCGUAGGUGGCGACGCAAGUCAGUGGUGAAAGCUCGACGCUCAACGUCGAGUCGGCCACUGAUACUGCAUUGCUGGAGCACUGUAGAGGCAGAUGGAAUUCCGGGUGUAGCGGUGGAAUGCGUAGAGAUCCGGAAGAACACCGGUGGCGAAGGCGGUCUGCUGGGCAGUAGCUGACACUGAGGCGCGACAGCGUGGGGGAGCAAACAGG
This 254-nucleotide ribosomal RNA is filed under the name uncultured bacterium. Its description in RNAcentral is "partial 16S ribosomal RNA". It matches the Rfam family "Bacterial small subunit ribosomal RNA", at positions 524 to 776 of the family's 1533-position model. The record is from RNAcentral.